Molecule: ribosomal RNA, 500 nt
Filed under: uncultured bacterium
Lineage: Bacteria
Description: bacterial SSU rRNA
Rfam family: Bacterial small subunit ribosomal RNA
Source: RNAcentral
GACGGGGCCGCACAAGCGGAGGACAUGUGGUUAAUUCGAUAAUACGCGAGGAACCUUACCCAGGCUCGAACGCCGAACGAAUACGGGGGAAACUCCGUAGCCAGCAAUGGCGGUCGGCGAGGUGCUGCAUGGUUGUCGUCAGCUCGUGCCGUGAGGUGUCGGCUUAAGUGCCAUAACGAGCGCAACCCCUAUCGGUAGUUGCCAGCGGGUUAUGCCGGGAACUCUACCGAGACUGCCAGCGCAAGCUGCGAGGAAGGCGGGGAUGACGUCAAAAUCAGCACGGCCCUUACGUCUGGGGCGACACACGUGUUACAAUGGCCGGUACAGAGGGCAGCCACCCAGCGAUGGGGCGCGAAUCUCAAAAGCCGGUCGUAGUCCGGAUCGGAGGCUGCAACCCGCCUCCGUGAAGCUGGAUUCGCUAGUAAUCGCAUAUCAGCCAUGAUCGCGUCGAUACGUUCCGGCCUUGUACACACCGCCCGUCAAACCAUGGGAGCUGGGGG